GAAAUGCGAUAAGUAAUGUGAAUUGCAGAAUUCAGUGAAUCAUCGAAUCUUUGAACGCACCUUGCGCUCCUUGGUAUUCCUUGGAGCAUGCCUGUUUGAGUAUCAUGAAAUCUUCAAAGUAAAUCUUUUGUUAACUCAAUUGGUUUCUACUUUGGUAUUGGAGGUCUUUGCAGCUUCACACCUGCUCCUCUUUGUUCAUUAGCUGGAUCUCAGUGUUAUGCUUGGUUCCACUCGGCGUGAUAAGUUAUCUAUCGCUGAGGACACUGUAAAAGGUGGCCAAGGUAAAUGCAGAUGAACCGCUUCUAAUCGUCCAUUGACUUUGACAAUACUUUUAUGAUCUGAUCUCAAAUCAGGUAGGACUACCCGCUGAACUUAAGC
Molecule: unclassified non-coding RNA, 378 nt
Filed under: plant metagenome
Description: partial contains 5.8S ribosomal RNA, internal transcribed spacer 2, and large subunit ribosomal RNA
Rfam family: 5.8S ribosomal RNA (bases 1-105)
Source: RNAcentral